UGUGAAUUGCAACUUCAGAUAUUUAUAUGACUCCAUAGAUGAGAAAAGUCAUCUGCAUUUCUUAUUCCAAUUUAUUCUCUCUGAAAGAUGACAUCAAUCAGGAAUCAUCAUGUGAAAUUAUAUCUCAGGUCUUUCGAAUCUGAACUGCCGUGGUGAAAAGCAUGGAACAUAGUAUACUGGAGUCACUUUCCAUUGUGUGUUUGUUUGCUUUAUUUCAGAGGAAGUUCCAGGAGUAGCAAUUCACAGGAUCUAUUUUCUCAUUAGAUGAGAAUACUGGUGCCAAUGCUGUUUCUUUGAUGUGUGCUUUUCAUUUUACACUGCAAGCUAUCUCUACACAUGUUACAAGCAUUCAUGUGAAAAUGGGUGCAAUUGUUGAUUCCCCCAAUAGAAUUUUUUAUUGAUUUUAAGUAAGCAAGAACAGUUCAAAUAUUGUAAACAUUCCAAGCCUCAGAUGUAACUAGUAGACAUUUCACUUACGUAGAUCAUAUAUUGAGUGCCUAAUCAUAUAGACAACUCUAAAUAAAAUUUCUAGGUAAGUUAUUGAUUAACAUUCUGCCACCUUGUGCACACAGAUGCGCAAACUGCAUACUCAUUGAUCAAUCCUAUUGCCCCCCCCCAAGUCUACCUGAAAAACUUAGCAUGUGAAGAGAUUUGAGUUGGUUGUUCCAGCUCAACUGUAUGGCUGAACUUUUGCCACUUUGUAACUAGCCUAAGUAUUACUUCCUGUGCAACUUUUCUGAAGCGCAUGAACCAGACCUUUGAAGAGUUUGUAAGUAAGCCAUUUUUUUUCUACUCUGGAGGAAGUGGGAAACUUUGGAGGGAACUUUGAAGGGCAUAUUUCAAAGGUCUAACAUCCUAUACUUCCACAAUUUACUUUGCUGUAUAUUUUGUGACUUUAAAUUACUGUACUGCUGGGAUUCUCUCGCCAAGAAUACUUGUCCCAAAGUUCGAUCUUGGCCUCCAGGGAAUCCUUCCUUCCUUCCUUCCUUCCUAACCAACCAACCGACCAACCUGCUUUUCUCUAUGUCACACAGAGAAAUGCAGAAGAGUGGUUUCACCCCUCAUCUGCAUCAGUAGAUGUCUAGCAACUAUCAGUUGCCAUCAUGGUCCACCAAUGCUCGUUUAAGAAAACAUCCAUGGCCAUCUGUCAUAGAUGCUUUAGUUUAGAUCAGGGGUCGGCAACCUAAGGCUCAUGGGCCACAACUGGCCCAUGGGGGUUGUUUAACCGGUCCAUGGACCCCCGCUGCCUGCUCAGUCAGCUCCUGUGCGCUGCGCUAAACCAGUGUGGAGCAGAGCGGGGAACCACCUUCCGCGAUGCCGGCUGGCUUCCCAAGCUGUGCACGCCUCCUCCGUGCCAGAAGGAGUGCUGGAAAUAGCGUUUGUGCAUGUGUGUGUGUGUGUGCGUGCACACACUCCGGCUCACCUUGGCGUCUGCGGGACCGUGAACCUGCCCAAGCCACAAAAACUUUGCCGUCCCCUUGUUUAGAUUCCUUCAUUGCUGGUCAAAUCAGUUAUCAUCAAAUGGGCACAAGAUAUAGGGCACAAUAUACAAUUUGAAUAUUGGGAAAAGCUGUGGAAAGUGGAUGUGAAAUUUACAGAUUGUUCUCUUUUGAAAGAAAAUUAUAUGAAAAUGAUGUGUAGAUGGUAAAUCACACCAGUACAAAUAGCAAAAAUGUACAAAACCCGGUCAAAUAUAUGUUGGAAAUGUAAAGAAAAAGGUACUAUGUAUCAUAUGUGGUGGGAAUGUAGAGAAGUUAAAAAAAAUUGGGAAAUGAUAUAUAAUGAAUUGAAAAAAAAUGUUUUAAAUGACAUUUGUAAAGAAACCAGAAGAUUUUUUUUUAGGAAUUUCAGGAUGAGACCUGACAAGAAAAACAAAGAAUUUAUUUAUGUAUGCCACAACAACAACAAGAGUCUUGUUAACACAAGGAUGGAAGAAGGAGGAAAUCCCAACGAAAGAACAAUGGCAAGAAAAACUGAUGAGUUAUGCAGAGUUGGCAAAGUUGACACAUAAACUAUGUGAGAAGGACAAUCGUGACUUCAAGGAAGAUUGGGAACUUUUUACAAACUAUUAAAAAAAAAACACAAAAUGACUUGGACUCCUUGGCAGGUUUUGAAUAAACACCCACAAAAUUAUUAAUAGAAUAUAUGACAGAUAAAGUAAUGAUAUGUACAAUUUUUAACAUGAAGAGAAUAAUAUGUGUAAACAAAUCAGAGAGGGGAGCUGAGGGAAGUCUUUGGUGGGGAGGUGAGGGAGGGAUGGGGAAUAAAAAGGGGGUGUGUGUAAUUGAUUAUUUGGAUUGAUAAUUUGUUUUGUUGAAAUUGUUUAAUAAAAAUAUAUUUAGAUUCCUGCAUUGCAGCAACUUGAAUGAGAUGACACUUGGUGUCCCUUCCAACUCUUCAGUUCUAUGAUUUUAUGAUCUCUUCCAGCCACAUGCAUCCAUAGAGCAAGGCAUUUAGCUGUUAGAUAUUCAGAAGCCUUGGGAUUACUAAUUCUUCCCUUGUCAUGGCUCAAUCACAGCCCUGUUACAUCAUGUAUGCCUUGACAGAAGUCACAGAAAAGCAUCAGCCGUCCAUUACAAUUUCUCACAUACCAUAAAUGAGAUCUACCUCUUUGAUGUCAACUUCCCAUGUCUCAUUUGGCAGAUUUGUCAUAUUAUCAGGACUUCAAUUGACCCACGGUUUCCCAUUCAACUUUGGGGCUUGUGAAGUAGGAAUAGCUUAUAAAUAUGUACCAAGUACUAUUUCCAGCACUAAGGGCUGCUUCAGACUGUGGUCUUUGCCUGUUCUUUUUAAAAUGUCUGUACAGGGGGAGAGUUAAUAGGUAGACCAAUAGAAAAGUCAGAGGUGGAGCCUACCUGUUUAUAAAAGGGCUUAGCCCGAGGAUUGGGUUGGUUGGGUUUAGUUAGUUGGUUGGUUGGGAAAAGGCAGUUGGGAAAGCAGUUGGCAGACAGUUGGAAUUAGAGAGACAGUUAGUGCAGUUGGUUUUUGUGGGAGGGGAGGUAGAAGAGUUAGAGACAGGAUAAAAAUAAGACUAAGAAGGUAAAGAGUAACAACAUUUUGAAUGCAGUUAAAGUUUAUUUGUGUCUGCAAUAAACUGCACUCUUCUUUGUUAACUUAAGAACCUGACUGAGACUAAGUGAUUUACCGGGGAGGACCUGGUUGGUGGCAGCGGAUUAGUGGUGUACGGGUCAAUAGUCCACGAGACGACUGGGGGCUCCAUACGAAUGCCACACAGACAUUCAAAAUACCUGCUCCAUCUUGACUCUUCUGAGGCAUGUAUUUGUUCAUGAAUUACACCAGGUUACAAGGGUCAUUGCAGUGAUUUCCACAACUGUGGCAAUACGUUUAUCAGUCACCAUAAUAAUAGGAACUGCUUGAAGGAAGCGGCAUUUAUAUUCCUGGACAAUCCCAGUCCAUGGGAUGUAUCAGCAGAGACUGCCUGGUCUUCAAAACAUAUUGCAUGGAUGAGUUUUUUUAUAUAUAAAAAAGUUUGAAUCAGACUGAUUUUCAAUACAAUAAGUAAACAUUAUAAUUAUAAUGAGUGAGGAAGCAUUAGGCACGCACCUCCUAUGUAAAAUAAUAAUAAUAAUGGAAACAUUAUUGAUAUGUGGGUGUCUUCUCAUUACCAAGGCCAGAUUCAAAGGAAGGAAUGUCAAAGUUCAAGAAAAAGAAGAGAAAACAAGGGAGAGAUGAUGAUGGAGGUGGAGAGGAUCUUUGAUAACUGGCUCUUUGGUGUACAGAGCAUUCAUAGGGGUGGUGCAAUUGGCUGAAUUUAAGUGGAGAUGAGUGGAGCCAAGUUGUUGAGGUUGGUGCUAAGAGCUUAGACAGUGUUUGGUGACUCUGUUGCAAUGGACUAAAGUGAAGUCUUUUGCCAACAGAGCAUUAUAGGGCACUGAGUCUUGUUAAGACACUGAGAGGCCCAGGGCAAAAUGCUUAUUUGAGGGCCCCUCCCUGAAAUCCCACAGCACAAUCCCACAGCACUUUGUGUCAGUUUCAUUUCCCCCUCAGCUGGAAAAAAUAUAUAUAAUACUUGGAAAAAACCCCAGCUAUAUUUGACAUCAGAAUAUUAACAUUUUAUGACUAAAGUUAAAGAAAAUAUUUACACAAAAUGACAAGCUGCAUUCAUAAUAUUUAAAAAGUCGUCUCAUCUUCUCCCCGCCUAGUUUUCUUGUCAACAAAUUCAGUGAUGAGAUUACCAAAAAAUAUUUCUCUCAGAAGAUCCCAAUCUAUAGAUAGAACAGAUAAUGAUGACUGUCUUGACUGUAGCUUUGUGGAAUGUAACUUAUUUUUUUUAAUAAAGACUAAUUUGGAGAAUGAUGUUUCUCCUUCAGCAUUCAAAAUUGGCAGAAUUAGAUAAAGGCUGAGAGCUAUGAUAGCAUCUGGGGAAGCUUCAACCAGAUCCUUAUUGUAAAUUAUCUUCAAAUGACUAUGUGCAGUAGUCUCAGAUCCAUCACACACCCCUGCAGUAUCUAAGAAAUGAAUAAAACAUUUUAGUUUAGAGGAUGGAAAAAUUUGCAGAUCAUUUGGGUAAGCUCUCACAAAGGCUUCUGCAUCCUUUUCCAGUGCACCAUUAUUUUGGGAAGAACUGUUCAGUUUUGCCAGGAAUCCAAAUAUAUUCACAGCUUCUAUGUAAGCACAGGAGAUUAUCUAACACACAGUAGUAUGCUUCCACCCUAAAUUUGUCUCUUCCUCUUUUGCAGUUACUUUUUUCCAUCUGAGAAAACAGAUCUGUGUCUCUGAAGAUACAGAUUCCACUUGAUUACUCAGUUUCUUUGCCUCCUCUUCAAAUUAUUCAAAGUUGUUCUGUAUAUCAACCUGGACACUGAGGUCCAGCUCCGAGGGCCUUCUGGCAGUUCCCUCACUGUGAGAAGCGAAGCUACAGAGAACCAGGGAGAGGGCCUUCUCGGUAGUGGGGGAAGAAGAAGACGAAGAAGAAGAGGAGGAGGAGGAGGAAGAAGAAGAAACAAUGAGAGAAACAGCAUUUCCCUCCCCUGACACAAUAUAAAGGGGCCUGGUUUUUGAAUUUUUUUGUGGACACAGUCAAAUCUGUGCAGGACUUUGUGCCAGAAUACAGCAUAAAAUAUAUUUCAAAUGUUUAAAAUUUCUUUACCAAAGAAAAUUUCUAACUUCUUACUUAAUCCACCUUUUCCCUUUAGAAUCAUUGGCAAUCUUUAGCAAGGCUUCCAUAUUACAGUCAUAAAAGAUGACAAGAGUUUGUGUAGCAUCUUCUCUACAGGACUAUCUUGUUUGAGACUGGUUUUUCAAUGUGUUUUUGGGUGUAUUCUUGUUAUCUGUGGAUCAUUGAUCAAUAUCGCCUUGAAGUAUUCUCCACCUGUGUUGGGCUAUCACACUAUUGCCUCGGGCUUAGAGGCUAGUGUUAGCUUCCAAAACACUCACAUUGCUUGUGGGGUCAGGCAAGUUCCCAGCACAUGUGCAGGGUGGAUGAAAGUUUCCAGCAGGUGGAAAAUUGGUGCUUGGAUUCCUACCAAACUCUGGUAAGGAAGCCUGUAACCAAUACGAAUUGUGGCCACUUCUAAUCCACACCAGUCUCCGCAUCGUUGUUGCUCCCAAACAACACACCUCGCUACAUGUGGCGACACAAUGAAUACACUUUAUUAUAUGCACUUGUUUCUGUGUUUAUAAGACGGCUGCAAUGGCAAAAAUUUAAAACUCUUGCCGCAACGUAAUUUACCAGGGAUUAAAUAUUGUGGGGUUUCGAAUAAACCAUCCAUUUUAUUUGCCCUGAUGGUGCCAAGCAAACCUUCCAUGCACUCUCCUUUGGAAAACAAAUUGCGUUCAGAGCUAUCAGAUUAAUGACGCUUAUAAAUAAAUAAGAAUCUUCCAUUUACUGUUAAUAGAAGACCAGCUGGCAUCCCACUGUUCAGCCGGAGGGGCAGGAGGUGCCGACAGAGAUUGGUGAUAGGUUGCCGAGUCAUUUUUCAUUUCCUCGCUGCUGCAGAACGCUUGCAAACGCUGCGAUGCAUAGAUCUCUUCCUGAAUGUUAGUUAUCACACUUGCCUAACAGAGAAAUAAGUAAUUAAAGUUUAAUAUGCAGCAUUUAGACUAUCUACAUCUCUCUGGAGGCUACUCAAAGGAAAUUUGGAAAGAAUGAAGCCAGGGUUUGUGUGUGUCUGUGUGUGUGUGUGUGUGUGUUUAAAUAAACCUAUUUGAUACCCAAUUCUGAUUUCGUCAGGUUUGUAUGGGAAAUUGAAUAGGAACCUCAAGGGGCAGGAGUCGCGUGGUUCCACUACGUUUCUGCUUAAUUAAACAGGACACAUGGAAAAUUGUAUACUUGCUCAGUGGAAAAUCUGUAGUUUUCAUUGAUUCAACAUGGGAGAUAACCAGGUUUGCACCGGUGGCUCUGACUACAAGAUGUACUUAUCUAGAGGAAGAUAUGCAACAUUUUGGACCUUACUUGCUUAUGUAACCUGGAGCUACUUCAGUUAAGUAGUUUUCUGUGCUUUGCAUCUGUUUAGCAUUGAAUUAUUAUGUACAACUGUACAACUUUCCCUCUACUGAGCCAUCACAGCCUACCAACUAUGACAGGGGGG
Molecule: long non-coding RNA, 6551 nt
Filed under: Podarcis lilfordi (Lilford's wall lizard)
Lineage: Eukaryota; Metazoa; Chordata; Lepidosauria; Squamata; Lacertidae
Source: RNAcentral